RNAcentral lists this unclassified non-coding RNA (302 nucleotides) under Stereaceae sp. Its description in RNAcentral is "partial contains 5.8S ribosomal RNA, internal transcribed spacer 2, and large subunit ribosomal RNA". The record is from RNAcentral. Lineage: Eukaryota; Fungi; Basidiomycota; Agaricomycetes; Russulales; Stereaceae.
CGCACCUUGCGCCCUUUGGUAUUCCGAAGGGCACACCUGUUUGAGUGUCGUGAAAUUCUCAACCCUCCUCACUUUGUUGUGAAGGCUGUGGCUUGGACUUGGAGGCUUUUGUCGGACCCCUUCUGGGGAUCGGCUCCUCUCAAAUGCAUUAGUAUGUCCUGUUGCGACGUCGCCCUCGGUGUGAUAAUUAUCUACGCUGUGCUGUGCGGCUUGCUUCUAAAAGGGGAUGUGCUUCUAACCGUCCGAAAGGACAAUUUUAUGAACUUGACCUCAAAUCAGGUGGGACUACCCGCUGAACUUAA